RNAcentral lists this ribosomal RNA (468 nucleotides) under uncultured bacterium. Its description in RNAcentral is "partial 16S ribosomal RNA". It matches the Rfam family "Bacterial small subunit ribosomal RNA", at positions 28 to 507 of the family's 1533-position model. The record is from RNAcentral.
GACGAACGCUGGCGGCGUGCUUAACACAUGCAAGUCGAACGGAAAGGCCCUGCUUUUGUGGGGUGCUCGAGUGGCGAACGGGUGAGUAACACGUGAGUAACCUGCCCUGGACUUUGGGAUAACUUCAGGAAACUGGGGCUAAUACCGGAUAGGAGCUCCUGCUGCAUGGUGUGGUUUGGAAAGUUUCGGCGGUUGGGGAUGGACUCGCGGCUUAUCAGCUUGUUGGUGGGGUAGUGGUUUACCCAGGCUUUGACGGGUAGCCGGCCUGAGAGGGUGACCGGCCACAUUGGGACUGAGAUACGGCCCAGACUCCUACGGGAGGCAGCAGUGGGGAAUAUUGCACAAUGGGCGGAAGCCUGAUGCAGCAACGCCGCGUGCGAGAUGACUGCCUUCGGGUUGUAAACCGCUUUCGCCUGUGACGAAGCGUGAGUGACGGUAAUGGGUAAAGAAGCACCGGCUAACUACGUG